CGAAUCAUUCACAAUGGGCGAAAGCCUGAUGGUGCGACGCCGCGUGAGGGAUGAAGGUCUUCGGAUUGUAAACCUCUGUCACCGGGGAAGAAACGCUUUGAGUUAAUAGUUCAAAGCCUGACUUACCCCGGCAAGGAAGCAGUGGCUAACUCUGUUCCCGCAGCCGCGGUAAUACAGAGACUGCAAGCGUUAUUCGGAUUCACUGGGCGUAAAGGGUGCGCAGGCGGCCAGAUGUGUCAGGUGUGAAAGCCCGGGGCUUAACCCCGGAAUUGCGCCUGAAACUGUCUGGCUAGAGUACUGGAGAGGGUAGCGGAAUUCACGGUGUAGCAGUGAAAUGCGUAGAUAUCGUGAGGAACACCAGAGGCGAAGGCGGCUACCUGGACAGUAACUGACGCUCAGGCACGAAAGCGUGGGGAGCA
RNAcentral lists this ribosomal RNA (419 nucleotides) under uncultured bacterium. Its description in RNAcentral is "bacterial SSU rRNA". It matches the Rfam family "Bacterial small subunit ribosomal RNA", at positions 358 to 770 of the family's 1533-position model. The record is from RNAcentral.